GACACCGAUGUAUUAUAUGGCCGAUGCAUAUUCGAGGUUAAUAGGGAAGCCGGUGUGAACCCGGCGCGGUCCCGCCACUGUGAAUGGAGUGUUGCGCUCAUGAUGCCACUGUCGAAUUCGUUAGUGUGUGCUGUAUGUACCGCUAUGGAUGGGAAGGCGAGCUGCAACGUAUUCUCCUAAGUCAGGAAACCUGCCUGAAGAUGGACGAGCUGU
RNAcentral lists this non-coding RNA (213 nucleotides) under Paenibacillus alvei. Lineage: Bacteria; Bacillati; Bacillota; Bacilli; Caryophanales; Paenibacillaceae. The record is from RNAcentral.